GAGGCGGGGCGGCGGCGGCUGGAACUCGAGAGGCCGCGCUUCCCGGGUUAGGCCGGGGGCAGGCGGAAAGCCCCUUACUCCUCUUUCCCGGGACCGUGGCCAAGGGCUGAGCGGCUGCUUAGCCCACGGAUUCCUGUCAGGGGUGGGUCCUGGCUGGCCUCGCGGAACGGAGAGCCCUUGGCCAGUGCUCGCCACCGGGCAGUAGGUCUUCUUGUGGGCCUGUGCCCUCAAGGCGCCAAAAAGGCAACCGGCCUGCUUCACCUUCCUCCAGCGACGUGUCCACAAAGAAGAAUGUGGAUUUCUUCCGGCAUCUAGAGAAGAGGGCUAGGAGGAGGAAAGUAUCUUUUCCCUUCAGUUACAGCACCCAAAUCUACAACUAAGAAAGUAUAUGAUGAGAAGAAAUAAAAAACAAAAAAGCAAAAUAAAAUUUAUUUCAAAACCUCUA
Molecule: long non-coding RNA, 445 nt
Organism: Lemur catta (Ring-tailed lemur)
Lineage: Eukaryota; Metazoa; Chordata; Mammalia; Primates; Lemuridae
Exons: 2
Source: RefSeq, a predicted model, not a curated record